GUUCCUGCCGCUGCCACGACUGGAUGAACAUAGCGACUCUUUGCCCCGUACGUGCCCGAUCCAGUGCCACUGCUUGACUUGUACAUCUGUGCCUACACAAAUCAGAAGUGAUAAUAUGCAAUGGCCCGAGUCCUAUCUACAAGGGAAUCGAGUUGGACGUAGCUCUUCUUUUCCAUGUGCAAACUGCAAAAAAGUUGCACAUCUAUCAAUUCCAAAACAGUCAUGUCUGCGUCAAGAUAUAAAGGACCAGCAUGGUCAGCGCCUUGUUCAUAAAGUUGCAACUUGCAAGUGAAUCAAAGAACUUGACAACUCUUCUGCGAAGACUCCGUACACAAUUUCGACUAGACCUUUUAUGAUGUUUAUCUGCACACAAUUUCGUUAUCAUCUUCCUUGAUUUAGAUUAAUCAAAGGUGACGACUGCUUUGAUUUUCAUGGUGAGAAAAUCUUAAUCCUCCAAUUAUAUUUACGCGGACAAAUAUAAGGGACGGAGUAGCGGCGGGAGCUGACCUGACAUUUGGAGCCGUAGCGGCAGCUACCUGAAUCUUCCCAGGAGCGGCAAAUCUCGGUCUUGUACAGACUCUUCCCACCGGACGAGGAGGAAGAUGACGUUGUAGAGUCCCCGGAAUCCGUCGCCGACCUCGCGUACCUUCCACCCGGAGGUAACGAGGCGACCAAAAUUCCAUCCAUGACCAGCACCUCCUCCUCCACUUUCACCGGCGUGGAGAAAAUGCUUGGUGACCUCGCCAUCUCCAAGUUCUCCACCGACAAGAGCGGCGGGCGCUUAUAUGAAUCUGGAGACCCGGUGCGGAAAUACCGAACGAGCGGUGAGUCUCCGAGAUCGAGGUUCUCGUUGUAGGAACCCGCUAGGGUUGGGCUCUUGGACUGCUGGUGGUGGUGGAUGUAGGAGUGGCGGCCCUUUCCGAAUAGCGACUGGUUGUCCAUCUGCAUCGGCAUCAGAACCCCGCCGUUCAGGCCGCCAUUGAAUCGAGGGAUCUUCGAAUUGCCGCUGUUACUGUGAAGAAGGCCUUCCAUUGGAUGUUGAGCUUUCCUGAAAUUCCAUCGCCAAGAUUCUAUGAAUUUGCCUCUGAAUUAUGCCAAUCUUGAACUCUUUUAUUUCUCACUAACAAUUUAGGUAUUAAUUUGUACUAUUCUAUUUACAAACUAUGUUUUGAAACUCAUGAAUUUCCCGCUAAA
Long non-coding RNA from Carya illinoinensis, 1194 nucleotides. RefSeq lists it as uncharacterized. The record is from RefSeq and is a predicted model, not a curated record. Lineage: Eukaryota; Viridiplantae; Streptophyta; Magnoliopsida; Fagales; Juglandaceae. The transcript has 2 exons.